GAGAGCUUGCUCUCAAGAAGUUAGCGGCGGACGGGUGAGUAACACGUGGGUAACCUGCCCAUAAGACUGGGAUAACUCCGGGAAACCGGGGCUAAUACCGGAUAACAUUUUGAACUGCAUGGUUCGAAAUUGAAAGGCGGCUUCGGCUGUCACUUAUGGAUGGACCCGCGUCGCAUUAGCUAGUUGGUGAGGUAACGGCUCACCAAGGCAACGAUGCGUA
Molecule: ribosomal RNA, 220 nt
Filed under: Bacillus toyonensis
Lineage: Bacteria; Bacillati; Bacillota; Bacilli; Caryophanales; Bacillaceae
Description: partial 16S ribosomal RNA
Rfam family: Bacterial small subunit ribosomal RNA
Source: RNAcentral